This 440-nucleotide ribosomal RNA is filed under the name uncultured bacterium. Its description in RNAcentral is "partial 16S ribosomal RNA". It matches the Rfam family "Bacterial small subunit ribosomal RNA", at positions 338 to 795 of the family's 1533-position model. The record is from RNAcentral.
CCUACGGGAGGCAGCAGUGGGGGAUAUUGCACAAUGGGGGGAACCCUGAUGCAGCGACGCCGCGUGGGUGAAGAAGCGUUUCGGCGCGUAAAGCCCUGUCAGCAGGGAAGAAAAUGACGGUAUCUGAAGAAGAAGCCCCGGCUAACUACGUGCCAGCAGCCGCGGUAAUACGUAGGGGGCAAGCGUUACCCGGAUUCACUGGGUGUAAAGGGGGCGCAGACGGCGAUGCAAGCCAGGAGUGAAAGCCCCGGGCCCAACCCCGGGACUGCUCUUGAAACUGCUUGGCUGGAGUACAGGAGGGGCAGGCGGAAUGCCUGGUGUAGCGGUGAAAUGCGUAGAUAUCAGGAGGAACACCGGUGGCGAAGGCGGCCUGCUGGACUGCAACUGACGUUGAGGCCCGAAAGCGUGGGGAGCAAACAGGAUUAGAUACCCCUGUAGUC